CACCAGAUGACCUGAAUAGCACUUUAUGUUGUGCUGCACUGCUGAAAUCUUGAGGACAGUUAACCUGCUCUGAUCUUAACUCUUUUUGUGAAUGUUAGUAGAAUGGCUUCUGUCUGUCUAAGAGAUAUUUUUAGCUUUUAUUGUUCUGGGACGUUAUUGUGGAAACAGAUGAACACAGAAGACGUGUUUUGGUCGACAUUAUCCAUCUUGUAACCGAAAUAAUUCCAGAUAACUGACUUUCCUUUUCUUUUUGGCAACAAGUCAUCUUCCUUGGUUUUCUCUGUGUGUUGCUCAGUUUGCGAUCGUUGUUGUUGUUGUUAACGGGGUUGAGCUGAGAAACGCCUGUCCUCUGAGAAUUGCAUGCACCUCUGCACCUCACAAAACGCGCACUGCUUAUAGUAGAGUGGUCCACGGAAAUGUACAAUUUAAAACCCAUACAGUUCUUAUUUGUUGGGCUAAACAGCGAUGAAGAAUGUUCUGAAAGUAAUUCUCAGCGGACACGCGUUUCUCGGCACAACUCCAGUAGCACCAGCGAUUCCCUCCAAGUGCAGGACAUGUGCAGGGGUGGGUUUCCUCCUCUUUGAUUUUGAUUGACAGCUGGCAGAGUAGUCUGAUUGGCAACUAAGAACUGAGUCUGAUUGGCAACUGAGUAAAGAAUGAAGGUGAUUGGUGGAUCGCUGCACAGCACAUGCAGAGUCACAUGCAGUGUAUCUCAGUCAGUUACCCUUGAAAUUAACUGAGUUCAUUCACCUCCGACAUCGCAGGCUCUGCGAUGUGACUAUCGCACACACAUACAUCGCAAUGACGAUGCUCAAACGAUAUAUCGUGCAGGCCUAC
Xyrichtys novacula (pearly razorfish) is the source of this 837-nucleotide non-coding RNA. NCBI's taxonomy places the organism in Eukaryota, Metazoa, Chordata, Actinopteri, Labriformes, Labridae. The record is from the annotation of a GenBank genome assembly.